Molecule: ribosomal RNA, 253 nt
Filed under: uncultured bacterium
Lineage: Bacteria
Description: partial 16S ribosomal RNA
Rfam family: Bacterial small subunit ribosomal RNA
Source: RNAcentral
UACGUAGGGGGCAAGCGUUGUCCGGAAUCAUUGGGCGUAAAGAGCGUGUAGGCGGCCAGGUAGGUCUGCUGUGAAAACUCGAGGCUCAACCUCGAGACGUCGGCGGAAACCAUCUGGCUAGAGUCCGGAAGAGGAGAGUGGAAUUCCGGGUGUAGUGGUGAAAUGCGUAGAGAUCCGGAGGAACACCAGUGGCGAAGGCGACACGCUGGGCCGUACCUGACACUGAGGCGCGAUAGCAUGGGGAGCAAACAGG